UGAGCUCAGCAGGGCCGAUGGUUUAGCACUGUCAAAAAGACUCUUGCCUAUGAAGUAGAUAACAAAGUGUGGGCUGCCAGCCUCCUUUCCUAUAGAAAAGCUCGCUUGUUGUAACAUGUUGCUCCUGGAUUUCUUUCGCUGCGGUGGGGGGAGCUUAAAAAAAAGAAGAGACAGAAAACCUUCUGAAAGCUUUCGGCUGCCCUAUGCGGUGGGCAGAUGCUUUUGUGCUGGAGAAAUUGGGAAGGGAAAUCAAAGAAGCAGGAAGCGAUGCGGCAGGGAGGGAACUUCGGAGGCCCAGGCGAGCUCCGGUGGCGAAUUUGGAAGACUUCAAAGAGGAUUCCAGCUCAAAGGGAAGACCUAGAUAUUGAAUAGAUGCUGUAUAGUGUCGGGGGGUUCUUUCCCUCCCCAUCGUGGCCUUUGCCAAAUGAGCUAAUGCCAAAAAGGAAAGUGGACUUGGGCUAUAAAAUGAUGCUUUAGCAGAAUUUUCGCUAGCGACCUCUCGGCUGCAAACCUGUUGCCAUCCCGCCGUGUUCUCUGUCUCUUCAGACAUGUCCCCACCCGCCUGGCCAGAUUGGGAGCAUUGCAAACCAUCCUUUCUGGACUAAUUCAAGAAGAUGCAGCUUUUGACAGUCAAAGCCUGGAACAGCCUGGAUCUCAAGGAGAACUUUCUCUCCUAUAAUCUCCCGGGGCUUUUAGGAUCUACAAGUGAGACCCUAAUCAAAGUUCCUUCCUUUAGCAAGGGCGGCCAUCUUGCUUCGUUUACAACCACUGCACCUCCCAUCACUUCCAGACGAAGUCCUGUCACUUUUUAUAAGACCGUCUUUCGCCAUAUGAACCUCCUUGGACUCUGAGGUCAACCUCUGAGGCCCUUCUUCGUGUGCCUCCUCCAUGAGAGGUCCAGAAGGUGGCAACACAAGAACGGGGCCUUCUCUG
This is a long non-coding RNA of Podarcis muralis (Common wall lizard), 933 nucleotides long. RefSeq lists it as uncharacterized. The record is from RefSeq and is a predicted model, not a curated record. Lineage: Eukaryota; Metazoa; Chordata; Lepidosauria; Squamata; Lacertidae.